GUCCACGCCGUAAACGAUGUCAACUAGCCGUUGGGAACCUUGAGUUCUUAGUGGCGCAGCUAACGCAUUAAGUUGACCGCCUGGGGAGUACGGCCGCAAGGUUAAACUCAAAUGAAUUGACGGGGCCCGCACAAGCGGUGGAGCAUGUGGUUUAAUUCGAAGCAACGCGAAGAACCUUACCAGGCCUUGACAUCCAAUGAACUCUCCAGAGAUGGAUUGGUGCCUUCGGGAACAUUGAGACAGGUGCUGCAUGGCUGUCGU
This 261-nucleotide ribosomal RNA is filed under the name uncultured bacterium. Its description in RNAcentral is "partial 16S ribosomal RNA". It matches the Rfam family "Bacterial small subunit ribosomal RNA", at positions 793 to 1055 of the family's 1533-position model. The record is from RNAcentral.